UUUUUAUGGCACUUUAUAAAAAUCCAUAUCCACCUUGUGUGCAAUGUCAUCUCACUGGAGGUCGCGGCUGUAAAAAUCCGUUGGCCACCUUUGGGAUUUAUAUCUACUCAGAACUUUAGUGAUUUUGUCUGAACCAUAUUAUGAAUAUUUAAUUCAAAAUACAACUUUCAACAACGGAUCUCUUGGCUCUCGCAUCGAUGAAGAACGCAGCGAAAUGCGAUACGUAAUGUGAAUUGCAGAAUUCAGUGAAUCAUCGAAUCUUUGAACGCAUAUUGCGCUCUCUGGUAUUCCGGAGAGCAUGCUUGUUUGAGUAUCAGUAAACACCUCAACUCCCUUUUCUUUUUUGAAAUGGGAGCUGGACUUGAGUGAUCCCAACGCUUCUCUCACCGAGAAGUGGCGGGUUACUUGAAAUGCAGGUGCAGCUGGACUUUUCUCUGAGCUAUAAGCAUAUCUAUUUAGUCUGCCUAAAAAACAGAUUAUUACCUUUGCUGCAGCUAACAUAAAGGAGAUUAGUUCUUAUGCUGACUGAUGCAGGAUUCACAGAGACAGCUUCGGCUGACUUUGUAAACUCGAUCUCAAAUCAAGUAAGACUACCCGCUGAACUUAAGCAUAUCAAUAAGCGGAGGAAAAGAAACUAACAAGGAUUCCCCUAGUAACGGCGAGUGAAGCGGGAUGAGCUCAAAUUUAAAAUCUGGCUGGUUUACUAGUCCGAAUUGUAGUUUAAAGAAGCGUUUUCGGUGGCAGCCUGGGUAUAAAUCCUUUGGAACAGGGUAUCAUAGAGGGUGAGAAUCCCGUCUUUGACUCAGUGCAUGCUACUAUGUGAUACGUUUUCAAAGAGUCGAGUUGUUUGGGAAUGCAGCUCAAAAUGGGUGGUAAAUUUCAUCUAAGCUAAAUAUUGGCGAGAGACCGAU
RNAcentral lists this ribosomal RNA (911 nucleotides) under uncultured fungus. Its description in RNAcentral is "eukaryotic LSU rRNA". The stretch from base 571 to 911 matches the Rfam family "Eukaryotic large subunit ribosomal RNA", at positions 1 to 338 of the family's 3401-position model. The record is from RNAcentral. Lineage: Eukaryota; Fungi.